AUCAUUAACUGAAUCCAUAGGUUAAUGAGGCGAACCGGGGGAACUGAAACAUCUAAGUACCCCGAGGAAAAGAAAUCAACCGAGAUUCCCCCAGUAGCGGCGAGCGAACGGGGAGGAGCCCAGAGCCUGAAUCAGUGUGUGUGUUAGUGGAAGCGUCUGGAAAGGCGCGCGAUACAGGGUGACAGCCCCGUACACAAAAAUGCACAUACUGUGAGCUCGAUGAGUAGGGCGGGACACGUGGUAUCCUGUCUGAAUAUGGGGGGACCAUCCUCCAAGGCUAAAUACUCCUGACUGACCGAUAGUGAACCAGUACCGUGAGGGAAAGGCGAAAAGAACCCCGGCGAGGGGAGUGAAAAAGAACCUGAAACCGUGUACGUACAAGCAGUGGGAGCCUCUUAAUGGGGUGACUGCGUACCUUUUGUAUAAUGGGUCAGCGACUUAUAUUCUGUAGCAAGGUUAACCGAAUAGGGGAGCCGAAGGGAAACCGAGUCUUAACUGGGCGUUAAGUUGCAGGGUAUAGACCCGAAACCCGGUGAUCUAGCCAUGGGCAGGUUGAAGGUUGGGUAACACUAACUGGAGGACCGAACCGACUAAUGUUGAAAAAUUAGCGGAUGACUUGUGGCUGGGGGUGAAAGGCCAAUCAAACCGGGAGAUAGCUGGUUCUCCCCGAAAGCUAUUUAGGUAGCGCCUCGUGAAUUCAUCUCCGGGGGUAGAGCACUGUUUCGGCAAGGGGGUCAUCCCGACUUACCAACCCGAUGCAAACUGCGAAUACCGGAGAAUGUUAUCACGGGAGACACACGGCGGGUGCUAACGUCCGUCGUGAAGAGGGAAACAACCCAGACCGCCAGCUAAGGUCCCAAAGUCAUGGUUAAGUGGGAAACGAUGUGGGAAGGCCCAGACAGCCAGGAUGUUGGCUUAGAAGCAGCCAUCAUUUAAAGAAAGCGUAAUAGCUCACUGGUCGAGUCGGCCUGCGCGGAAGAUGUAACGGGGCUAAACCAUGCACCGAAGCUGCGGCAGCGACACUAUGUGUUGUUGGGUAGGGGAGCGUUCUGUAAGCCUGUGAAGGUGUACUGUGAGGU
This 1079-nucleotide ribosomal RNA is filed under the name Escherichia coli. RNAcentral's name for it is "partial 23S ribosomal RNA". It matches the Rfam family "Bacterial large subunit ribosomal RNA", at positions 150 to 1269 of the family's 2925-position model. The record is from RNAcentral. Lineage: Bacteria; Pseudomonadati; Pseudomonadota; Gammaproteobacteria; Enterobacterales; Enterobacteriaceae.